This 497-nucleotide long non-coding RNA is filed under the name Coturnix japonica (Japanese quail). RNAcentral's name for it is "lncRNA (ENSCJPG00005010197.1)". Lineage: Eukaryota; Metazoa; Chordata; Aves; Galliformes; Phasianidae. The record is from RNAcentral.
CAUGGUUCAUCGUUACUUCUUGUCAGCAAGGACCUAAGUACAUUCAUCUCCCUUUCCUGCAAGUGAGUGAUGAUGAAGGAAGUAAAGAGAUGUAUAAAGUACCAGACAGUGGCAGAAAUGAGGAACUAAGGCUUUCCUUCCCAAUAAAAUCUCCAAAUGCAAUAAUGCUGUUUUCUGUGGAAGAAGAAUGUUGCUCUUUAAAAAGCAUAUGGCACAGAUAAUCUUUUUCUCUACUACACUUCUACUGAAAGUUAUUGGGCAGGAUUUCUGACUAUUGAGAAGAAUUAAGGUAAACAAGUAGUCCACAUAUUAUUUCAUAUUUAGGCACUCCAUACUUCAGUUUAUCACUGGAGAGCAUAGCAGUAAAGUUCUGUUAAGUUAAACUACUGUUUGAUGUUGGUGAAAGGAAGACUUUUUAACAAGGUAAAUUCUAUUCUGAAAACAUUUUUCAUGGACUCAAAUAAUUUUUUCUCUGUCUUUGACUCAUGUGUUGCCAG